CACUUGACUGUCAUCAUCAUCCUCAUCACCCUCGGUCACAAUCUCCAGUAUCCCAGGCCCCCCAUCAAAGUCUGCAUCAUCCAUGAUAAAGUCUCCGUCCUCUUCAUCAUCAAGCUCACUCAAACUAUCAUCAUCAUCCUCAUUGCUCAUAUCAUCAGUGUCACUCUCGCCAUCCCCAUCCAGGUCUGGACCCAGCAUAGGAU
Molecule: unclassified non-coding RNA, 203 nt
Filed under: Hevea brasiliensis (rubber tree)
Lineage: Eukaryota; Viridiplantae; Streptophyta; Magnoliopsida; Malpighiales; Euphorbiaceae
Source: RNAcentral